UAAUAAUUUGAUUUUGGUUGUUUAUUAAUUUUUAUUUAUUAAUUUAUAUGGAUUAUUAUUAUAAAUAUUAAUCAUUCCAGUAAUUAGUAUUAAAUUUUUGUUUUAAUAAAUGAUUUAGUAAUUAAAUGAACAGUGGAUAAAAUUUGUGCCAGCAUUCGCGGUUAUACAAUUCACUGAAGUUAAUUUUAUAAAGUUUUAAAAAUUUAUUAAACUUGAAUUUUUAAUUUUUGUAUUUAAGUGGAAUUUAUACUUAAUAUUAUAUUCUUUAUUUAAAUAUUAAUAAAUUUUAACUAUAAACUAGGAUUAGAUACCCUAUUAUAUUUAAUGUAAAUUUAAAACUUGGAAUUGUAUUAGUUAUGUUCUUUAAAGCUCAAGGAAUUUGGCGGUUAAAUAUCUUUUUAGAGGAAUCUGUUAAUUAAUUUGAUAAUCCACGAUAGUUUAUACUUUAAUUUUUAUUUGUAUAUCGCUAUGUCAGAAUGUUUUUAUAGAAUAUUUUCUAUUUCUAUUUUAGAAUAAUAUUAGGUCAAGGUGCAGUUUUAUUAAAGGUUAAAUGGGUUACUUUUAUUAUAAAAAAUGAAUUAAUUAUUGGUUGUUUAAAUUUUAAAAUUAGGAUUUAAUAGUAAGUUUAAUUAAUUUAUUAAUCUUAAUUUUGCUCUGUUUAAUGUACAUAUCGCCCGUCACUCCUAAAUUAAUUAGGAUAAGUCGUAACAAAGUAAUUUUACCGGAAGGUGAAGUUAGAUAGUUU
This 745-nucleotide non-coding RNA is filed under the name Maiestas dorsalis. The record is from RNAcentral. Lineage: Eukaryota; Metazoa; Arthropoda; Insecta; Hemiptera; Cicadellidae.